RNAcentral lists this microRNA precursor (91 nucleotides) under Chlorocebus sabaeus (green monkey). Its description in RNAcentral is "miRNA (ENSCSAG00000022997.1)". The record is from RNAcentral. Lineage: Eukaryota; Metazoa; Chordata; Mammalia; Primates; Cercopithecidae.
CAGUGCCCAGCCCAGUGCUUGGCACCUAGUAGGUGCUCAAUAAAUGGUGGCGCCUACUGAGUUGCAGUAGAUGCAGAGUACUGUGGGCAGA